This is a non-coding RNA of Pelobates cultripes (western spadefoot toad), 360 nucleotides long. Lineage: Eukaryota; Metazoa; Chordata; Amphibia; Anura; Pelobatidae. The record is from the annotation of a GenBank genome assembly.
GUCUUAUGGUGUUUUGGAAAGUUAGAGAGUAACAUAUAAGGCUUGCAUUUCAUUUUUUUGACAUUGAAAUUUGCCAGAUUGGUUAUGUUGCCUUUGAGAGCGUAUGGUAGCCCAGGAAUGAGAAUUACCCCCAUGAUGGCAUACCAUUUGCAAAAGAAGACAACCCAAGGUAUUGCAAGUGUGGUAUGUCCUGUCUUUCUUAGUAGCCACUUAGUCACAUGUGACAGCAGUGAAUUACGGUUGAACAGACAUAUAGCGCAAAUUCCAGUUUUUGUUUACGUUUUGAUCAGAACGUGCACUAUUGACUCCGUUCUGAAGGGGUUAAAAUGAAAUGCAAAAAUCCACACAGCUGUAUCAACC